ACACUUUAGAGUGCAAGGAGAUAACGGGCAACUUACAUAUGAACCGAUCGAAUGUGGCCCCCAAUAUCUCUAAUGGUAAUUAUCCGGAAGCUUCUCCAAACCGACAACCGAAGGAAAGGGAAAAUGCGAAGUUCAUCUGGCACCUUUCCUUAGAUCAAAUAACGCCAGCUUGGUAUUACAGUCGAUCAUCGACGCCUUGAGCCUUCUCCUCAACCUCAUUUAUUACCAUGGCGGUAUCUUCACUCUUACAGCAGUGUCUUUAUAUUUCCUGGAUGGAGAAUUGGUGAACAGGAAAUAAAUGCGACAAGUAGCGCGUUUUUGGUAUCAUUUGGCUGGGGAUCCUACAGUUAUACAUCCGUCGCAAUGAACGAUGGGCCCGGAAAGUCGUCAGUGGUUGCCUUCUUUUCUGCAAGUCCUUCAAAUACAUGUCAUACUUGUGAAAACCAAUGAACAGCCUGUUAAUAAGGGCUGAUAACGUCCACAAUAGAUCAGAAAGUACCUCUGUGUACUUAUUAAUCACGGGACUAUCCUCCUUGGCCCCAUGAUGUCGCCUC
Molecule: small RNA, 554 nt
Filed under: Cryptococcus neoformans H99
Lineage: Eukaryota; Fungi; Basidiomycota; Tremellomycetes; Tremellales; Cryptococcaceae
Description: Cryptococcus neoformans var. grubii H99 hypothetical RNA
Source: RNAcentral